CAGUCGCCGCGGGAAUACAGAGGAUGCAAGCGUUAUCCGGAAUGAUUGGGCGUAAAGCGUCUGUAGGUGGCUUUUCAAGUCCGCCGUCAAAUCCCAGGGCUCAACCCUGGACAGGCGGUGGAAACUACCAAGCUGGAGUACGGUAGGGGCAGAGGGAAUUUCCAGUGGAGCGGUGAAAUGCGUUGAGAUCGAAAAGAACACCAACAGCGAAAGCACUCUGCUGGGACGACACUGACACUAAGAGACGAAAGCUAGGGGAGCAAAUGGGAUUAGAUACCCCAGUAGUCCCUGUCUCUUAUAC
RNAcentral lists this ribosomal RNA (301 nucleotides) under uncultured bacterium. RNAcentral's name for it is "partial 16S ribosomal RNA". It matches the Rfam family "Bacterial small subunit ribosomal RNA", at positions 509 to 807 of the family's 1533-position model. The record is from RNAcentral.